This 72-nucleotide transfer RNA is filed under the name Paragonimus ohirai. RNAcentral's name for it is "tRNA-Gly". Lineage: Eukaryota; Metazoa; Platyhelminthes; Trematoda; Plagiorchiida; Troglotrematidae. RNAcentral also lists the same sequence under 1 other name. The record is from RNAcentral.
AUGCUAGUAGUAUAUUUUGAGUGAAGUAUUCUGUCUUUCCAAGUCAGAGGGCCAUGUGUUUUGGCUAGCAUA